UGGGGGAUUUUGCACAAUGGGCGCAAGCCUGAUGCAGCGACGCCGCGUGAGGGAUGAAGGCCUUCGGGUUGUAAACCUCUUUCGCUGGGUUGAAAGGCCAUGCUUUGGGUGUGGUUGAUUUGAACUGGUAAAGAAGUACCGGCUAACUACGUGCCAGCAGCCGCGGUAAUACGUAGGGUACUAGCGUUGUCCGGAUUUAUUGGGCGUAGAGGGCUUGUAGGUGGUUUGUCGCGUCUGUCGUGAAAUCCUGUGGCUUAACCAUGGGCUUGCGGUGGGUACGGGCAGGCUUGAGUGCAGUAGGGGAGACUGGAAUUCCUGGUGUGGCGGUGGAAUGCGCGGAUAUCAGGAGGAACACCGGUGGCGAAGGCGGGUCUCUGGGGCGUUACUGACACUGAGGAGCGAGAGCGUGGGGAGCGAACAGG
Molecule: ribosomal RNA, 422 nt
Filed under: Fusobacteriota bacterium
Lineage: Bacteria; Fusobacteriati; Fusobacteriota
Description: Fusobacteria bacterium partial 16S ribosomal RNA
Rfam family: Bacterial small subunit ribosomal RNA
Source: RNAcentral